AACGUAGGUACCGAGCGUUAUCCGGAUUUACUGGGCGUAAAGCGUGUUCAGGCGGCCUGGCAAGUCGGGCAUGAAAUCUCUCGGCUCAACCGAGAGAGGCUGUCCGAUACUGCUGGGCUUGAGGACGGUAGAGGGUGGUGGAAUUCCGCGUGUAGUGGUGAAAUUCGUAGAUAUUCGGAAGAACACCAGUGGCGAAGGCGACUGACUGGACAAGUAUUGACGCUGAGGUGCGAAAGCGUGGGGAGCAAACAGGG
Molecule: ribosomal RNA, 254 nt
Filed under: uncultured bacterium
Lineage: Bacteria
Description: partial 16S ribosomal RNA
Rfam family: Bacterial small subunit ribosomal RNA
Source: RNAcentral